CCACAGCAGUGACAGCACCAGAUCCUUAACCCACUAAUCCACCAGGGAACUCCACUGGGAACUCUUUUUGCCAAGUAUCUCUUGCUGCCAGCCCCACUCCUCUCCAGGAUCUGCACUGUUUUCCUUCUGGACUUCAACGGGCUCUACCAAGUCUCGCAACUGCUCUCAUAGAAUUAAUUCCUCCCGCGCCCAACGUCUUCUCCACGGAAUCAUCAGAAUUCCCUUUCUGCAACCACCUGGGAUCAUAUCAGUCUAUGUUCAAAGCAGCUGGUGGUCCCCAAAUUCAUAAGGCUGGUACCUGGGGGGCCUGUCCCCAUAGCCCUGCUUCAUUUAUGCUCGCCCCACCCAUCUGAGCUUCUUGCCCUGGAAAUUCCACACUGUUCCUUGACUCCAAGCCUUGGCAUAUGCUAAGCCUUCUGCCUGGCACAGAAUUCUCAGAAGGCUUGUCACUUGCCAGGGAGCCCUAACAGAGUGGUCUGAAGUUCAGGAAAAAGAAGAAAAGCAAAGGAAGAAGGGAAGAGGGCAGACAGCGGAGGAUUUGCUGCAGUUGGGUUUUCAAGAACAAAAAAUACACAUAGGGGAGGCAUGGGAUCCUUCCUUCCCAAACAUAUUUCCUUUUGGCCUGAGAUGUUACAAGACUCCAAAUUGGAGCUUGUCUUGUCUCCUCCAAAAAAAAAAAAAAAAAGAAAAGACCUGUCUCACUGGCUCCUUGCAGAGGUAGAUUUAUAAACCAAAGAAGAUGGGUAUAUAUACACAAUGGAAUAUCACUCAGCCGUUAAAAGGAAAGAAAUAAUGGCACUUUUAGCAACAUGGAUGGACCUAGAAAUUAUCAUGCUAAGUGAAGUCCGUCAGACAAUGAGACACCAACAUCAAAUGCUAUCAUCUACAUGUGGACUCUAAAAAAAGGACACAAGGAACUUCUUUGCAGAACAGAUACUGACUCACAGACUUUGAAAAAUUUACAGUUUUCAAAUGAGACAGGCUGGGGGGUGGGGGGAUGGACUGAGGGUUUGGGAUGGACAUGCUAUAAAAUUUGGUUGUGAUGAUUGUUGUACACCUGUAAAUGUAAUACAAGUCAUUAAGUAAUAAAAAUAAAUCUAUGCAGAAUCUAUAAAUAAAU
This 1120-nucleotide long non-coding RNA is filed under the name Sus scrofa (pig). RNAcentral's name for it is "lncRNA (ENSSSCG00050002142.1)". The record is from RNAcentral. Lineage: Eukaryota; Metazoa; Chordata; Mammalia; Artiodactyla; Suidae.